Long non-coding RNA from Megalobrama amblycephala (Wuchang bream), 1425 nucleotides. RefSeq lists it as uncharacterized. The record is from RefSeq and is a predicted model, not a curated record. The transcript is spliced from 4 exons. NCBI's taxonomy places the organism in Eukaryota, Metazoa, Chordata, Actinopteri, Cypriniformes, Xenocyprididae.
UCUAGAACACCUAGCGCUUAGCUCAAGCAGUAGAGAGGAUGUCGCUCGCAUCAUCAACUCGUGGGUUCGAAUCCCAGGAAAAUUAAAUUUAUCUACUAGUUACAUCGUCACUUUGGAUAGACGUGACUAGCCUUUGUAAACGUAUUAAUGUUAAUGACUUACCUUGUUUGGCUCUUGGAAAGCAGAUGAGAAAAACAGCUGUCAGGUGUUCCAGUUGGAGAUCAAGUCGGGGACCCUGAAACCUAAAGCUUGCUUGGGCUUAUACUUAAAAGAGGACAUUGUCAGUACGUUAAUACUUGAACUUUCACUUCAAAUAUUCACUUAGCUCAAGUAUAGAGCUGCCAUCGCAAACCUGUGGGGUGCGAACCUAGAGAAGUGAACGGAUAAAAGUGACUACGACUACGGGAUAAUCGGGUAAAAGUGGCUCCGAGUAAGGGAUAAAAGUGAAACAAGACUGGAUAAAAGUGACUGCGAGUCCGAGGUAAAUGGAUAAAGGAGGCUGCGAGUCCGGGACCAAAGUGAAACAUGACUGGAUAAAAGUGGCUACGGGAUAAUCGGGUAAAAGUGGCUCCGAGUACGGGAACAAAGUGAAACAUGACUGGAUACAAGUGGCUGCGAGUCCGAGGUAAAUGGAUAAAGGAGGCUGCGAGUCCGGGACCAAAGUGAAACAUGACUGGAUAAAAGUGGCUACGGGAUAAUCGGGUAAAAGUGGCUCCGAGUAUGGGGUAAAAGUGAAACAUGACUGGAUACAAGUGGUUGCGAGUCCGAGGUAAAUGGAUAAAGGAGGCUGCGAGUACGGGACCAAAGUGAAACACUGGAUAAAAGUGACUGCGAGUCCAGGAUAAAUGGAUAAAGGAGGCUGCGAGUACGGGACCAAAGUGAAACAUGACUGGAUAAAAGUGGCUACGGGAUAAUCGGGUAAAAGUGGCUCCGAGUAUGGGGUAAAAGUGAAACAUGACUGGAUACAAGUGGCUACGGGAUAAUCGGGUAAAAGUGGCUCCGAGUAUGGGGUAAAAGUGAAACAUGACUGGAUACAAGUGGCUACGGGAUAAUCGGGUAAAAGUGGCUCCGAGUAUGGGGUAAAAGUGAAACAUGACUGGAUAAAGUGGCUACGGGAUAAUCGGGUAAAAGUGGCUCCGAGUAUGGGGUAAAAGUGAAACAUGACUGGAUACAAGUGGCUGCGAGUCCGGGAUAAAUGGAUAAAGGAGGCUAGGUGUUUAAGUUGACACUGAACAAAAACUAUGCCGUUUUGAGCGAGAAGCAAUUUAUUGCAGAUCUUCAGAUGUGCAGCAGGUGUGUCUGAGCCAGCUGUUUUCUUGGAGGAUUGGUAAGUAGAGGAGAUGGGUGAAAGUAUGGUUGCAGCCGGAGAGGACGGCGUAACAGAGCUUCUGUUCUCAUGGUGAGGCGUUAUAUGUGACACACACA